GAGUCCAUGGAAAGAAUCAAAGGGCACGCGCAAGUUACGUAUUGCCCGUGUAUUUACGAUGGCAAAACAUACGGCCACAGUUAUGUUUUUGUUUUUUUUAAAUCACUUUCAGUGAUUAACACAAAAUCAUCUCCAGAGGCGGCGCUCGGCAUUCUAGAAUGAAUAAUACAUAACUCCAACCAAACAAAACAAAACAACAACACCCAAACAAACACUUCCAUUUGAUAUUUUAAAUUUUCAUAACCAUAGUAAUACUAUUCAAUAAAAAAUAACACAUACAAACAAAUGUAAAUGUUUACAAUUUCAAGAUUAACAUCAUUCAAAAUAUAGCAAAACAAACCCAACAACAACAAUAAACGAACAGACAUAAAAAGCUACAAAAAAACCCUACAUAAAAUAAUUAACGAUUAAAAACAAGACAAAAAAGAAAAGUAAAAAGAAAAGUGUAUCAAUUAAAAAUAUUACUAUUUGUACCAACAUUGUAAAACAAUAUUACUUUACAUAAAUAAGUAAGACUAUAAGAUAGUGUUCUACAAAAUUAAAUAACGUAUAAAGCACGGAUUACAGAAGAACAAAAACACAAACUGCCACAAUUAUUUUGACGAGUCGUCUACUUGUAGGUGAACUGACCCUUGUAUAGCUGAACGUAUCAAUCACAAAUUGCCACAACAGUAUGGACGAGACGUCUAAUGGUAGGUGCCCUGGCCUUUGUAUUGUUGAACGUAUCAAUCACAAAUUGCCACAACUGUAUGAACGAGACGUCUAAUGGUAGGUGCCCUGACCUUUGUAUUGUUGAACGUAUCAAUCACAAAUUGCCACAACUGUAUGAACGAGACUUCUAAUG
Molecule: long non-coding RNA, 844 nt
Organism: Gigantopelta aegis
Lineage: Eukaryota; Metazoa; Mollusca; Gastropoda; Neomphalida; Peltospiridae
Exons: 2
Source: RefSeq, a predicted model, not a curated record